Molecule: ribosomal RNA, 497 nt
Filed under: uncultured bacterium
Lineage: Bacteria
Description: partial 16S ribosomal RNA
Rfam family: Bacterial small subunit ribosomal RNA
Source: RNAcentral
GAUGAACGCUGGCGGCGUGCCUAAUACAUGCAAGUCGAGCGAACGGACGAGAAGCUUGCUUCUCUGAUGUUAGCGGCGGACGGGUGAGUAACACGUGUAUAACCUACCUAUAAGACUGGGAUAACUUCGGGAAACCGGAGCUAAUACCGGAUAAUAUUUUGAACCGCAUGGUUCAAAAGUGAAAGACGGUCUUGCUGUCACUUAUAGAUGGAUCCGCGCUGCAUUAGCUAGUUGGUAAGGUAACGGCUUACCAAGGCAACGAUGCAUAGCCGACCUGAGAGGGUGAUCGGCCACACUGGAACUGAGACACGGUCCAGACUCCUACGGGAGGCAGCAGUAGGGAAUCUUACGCAAUGGGCGAAAGCCUGACGGAGCAACGCCGCGUGAGUGAUGAAGGUCUUCGGAUCGUAAAACUCUGUUAUUAGGGAAGAACAUAUGUGUAAGUAACUGUGCACAUCUUGACGGUACCUAAUCAGAAAGCCACGGCUAACUACGUG